GUCUGUAGUAGUAUCACCAUGGGCUGUGAUUUUAUUGGAUCCCACAAGCUAAGCAGGGUCAGGUCUGGUCAGUAUAUUGAAAGAGAGACCAAAGAAAUCCCAGUUGCUGCAGGAA
Chrysemys picta bellii (western painted turtle) is the source of this 115-nucleotide ribosomal RNA. The record is from Ensembl. NCBI's taxonomy places the organism in Eukaryota, Metazoa, Chordata, Testudines, Emydidae.